AGUGAACGCUGGCGGUAGGCCUAACACAUGCAAGUCGAACGGCAGCACAGUAAGAGCUUGCUCUUACGGGUGGCGAGUGGCGGACGGGUGAGGAAUACAUCGGAAUCUACUUUUUCGUGGGGGAUAACGUAGGGAAACUUACGCUAAUACCGCAUACGACCUACGGGUGAAAGCAGGGGAUCUUCGGACCUUUCGCGAUUGAAUGAGCCGAUGUCGGAUUAGCUAGUUGGCGGGGUAAAGGCCCACCAAGGCGACGAUCCGUAGCUGGUCUGAGAGGAUGAUCAGCCACACUGGAACUGAGACACGGUCCAGACUCCUACGGGAGGCAGCAGUGGGGAAUAUUGGACAAAGGGCGCAAGCCUGAUCCAGCCAUACCGCGUGGGUGAAGAAGGCCUUCGGGUUGUAAAGCCCUUUUGUUGGGAAAGAAAAGCAGCAGGUUAAUACCCCGCUGUCCUGACGGUACCCAAAGAAUAAGCACCGGCUAACUUCGUG
Molecule: ribosomal RNA, 492 nt
Filed under: uncultured bacterium
Lineage: Bacteria
Description: partial 16S ribosomal RNA
Rfam family: Bacterial small subunit ribosomal RNA
Source: RNAcentral